GCCAUUUUUCUUUCUGUUUAGUACAUUUCGCAUCCAACCUGGAGGAUCGAAGAGGUGAGAAAUUGAAUUUGAGCCCUAACACACAAACUCAACCUUGAAACCCUAACACCAGCAUCACCCAUGAUCAGUGAUCUGAGAAUAGCCAGAGAGAAAACACCCCAAGAAAUCAUCAUGUAAACACUCUUCUGAGGAGAUGCUCUUUGAAGGUCAUUUGUUGUGUCUCCUCAAAGCAUGGCUUCAAUUUGUCCACAGAUGUUUGUCCAGAAUCUACGAAGUAUACUUAUUAAGCAUGGUUUUUUGGCAAAGUAUCCCCUAGAGCCGAAUUGAUUCAAACGUGGGACUAAAGAUACAGACUUAAAGCAGAAGAUGGGAAGAUUGACAGAAGAAGCUUGUCGUUUGUCAUAGGAUGCCACCAUUAUAAGCUGAUUCUGUACUUUCUUUCAAGA
Molecule: long non-coding RNA, 446 nt
Organism: Mirounga angustirostris (Northern elephant seal)
Lineage: Eukaryota; Metazoa; Chordata; Mammalia; Carnivora; Phocidae
Exons: 4
Source: RefSeq, a predicted model, not a curated record